CGGUGGUAACUAUAACCAUCCUAAGGUAGCGAAAUUCCUUGUCGGGUAAGUUCCGACCUGCACGAAUGGCGUAACGACUUCUCAACUGUCUCAACCAUAGACUCGGCGAAAUUGCACUACGAGUAAAGAUGCUCGUUACGCGCGGCAGGACGAAAAGACCCCGGGACCUUCACUAUAGCUUGGUAUUGGCGUUUGGUUCGGUUUGUGUAGGAUAGGUGGGAGACUGUGAAGCAGGCACGCCAGUGUUUGUGGAGUCAUCGUUGAAAUACCACUCUGAUCGUAUUGAACCUCUAACCUCGGACCGUAUAUCCGGUCCAGGGACAGUGCCUGGUGGGUAGUUUAACUGGGGCGGUUGCCUCCCAAAAUGUAACGGAGGCGCCCAAAGGUUCCCUCAACCUGGACGGCAAUCAGGUGUUGAGUGCAAGUGCACAAGGGAGCUUGACUGCGAGACCUACAAGUCAAGCAGGGACGAAAGUCGGGACUAGUGAUCCGGCACCUCUGAGUGGAAGGGGUGUCGCUCAACGGAUAAAAGGUACCCCGGG
Molecule: ribosomal RNA, 542 nt
Filed under: Staphylococcus capitis
Lineage: Bacteria; Bacillati; Bacillota; Bacilli; Caryophanales; Staphylococcaceae
Description: partial 23S ribosomal RNA
Rfam family: Bacterial large subunit ribosomal RNA
Source: RNAcentral